Molecule: long non-coding RNA, 314 nt
Filed under: Lathyrus oleraceus (garden pea)
Lineage: Eukaryota; Viridiplantae; Streptophyta; Magnoliopsida; Fabales; Fabaceae
Description: Pisum sativum (pea) long non-coding RNA (PSAT_LNC029273)
Source: RNAcentral
UCCACUCAACAAUGAUUCCUCUUCAAAUCAGGUAUCCACUUCUGAACCCCACUCGUCAUUGAUUCUCACUUCUGAAUCAACCACUCGAUACUGAUCCCCACUUCUAAAUCAUGGACUUAUCUCAGGGCCAAAGUUCACACAUCAAUCCCUGACGCAUAUGAUGCAUGACAUAUAAAAUAAUGCAAAAAAACUUAUGAUUCCACUUCUAACCAUACAUAACAACACAUAAGUAAUAACAGUAGUUCUGACUUCGAACUACACAUCUCAACAUCAACAACCUAUAACUACAACUCGUAUUUUAAUUAUACACACAU